This 397-nucleotide ribosomal RNA is filed under the name uncultured bacterium. Its description in RNAcentral is "bacterial SSU rRNA". It matches the Rfam family "Bacterial small subunit ribosomal RNA", at positions 535 to 936 of the family's 1533-position model. The record is from RNAcentral.
UCAACGGUGUCGGAUUUAUUGGGUUUAAGGGUGCGUAGGCGGCCCUGUAAGUCAGUGGUGAAAUACGGCAGCUCAACUGUCGAGGUGCCAUUGAUACUGCAGGGCUAGAGUACUGAUGAGGUAGGCGGAAUGGACGGUGUAGCGGUGAAAUGCUUAGAUAUCGUCCAGAACACCGAUAGCGAAGGCAGCUUACUAAAGAGUAACUGACGCUGAGGCACGAAAGUGUGGGGAUCAAACAGGAUUAGAUACCCUGGUAGUCCACACUGUAAACGUUGAUCACUAGAUGUUGGCGAUACACUGCCAGCGUUCCAGCAAAAGCGAUAAGUGAUCCACCUGGGGAGUACGCCCGCAAGGGUGAAACUCAAAGGAAUUGACGGGGGUCCGCACAAGCGGUGGA